This 292-nucleotide unclassified non-coding RNA is filed under the name uncultured fungus. Its description in RNAcentral is "partial contains 5.8S ribosomal RNA, internal transcribed spacer 2, and large subunit ribosomal RNA". The record is from RNAcentral. Lineage: Eukaryota; Fungi.
AACGCAAAUUGCGCUCAAGGCCUCGGCCUAGAGCAUGUCUGCCUCAGCGUCGGCUUUUCAUCCUCGCACUCAAUUAUUGUUGUGCGGAACUGGUAGUCUCACUCUCCGAGUGGGUCUGUCGAAACGAAGAGGCUGAAUCUGUCCUUCUAAGACAACAACUUGGUAGGUGGUUUAUACCGCACGCCGUUGUUGUUGGGGGCAUUGACGGCCGAUUGGAAAUCUCCUCUUUUGAGCGUGAUUUCACCCCUAAAUAUUCGACCUGAGAUCAGGCAAGAUUACCCGCUGAACUUAA